RNAcentral lists this long non-coding RNA (1174 nucleotides) under Taeniopygia guttata (zebra finch). Its description in RNAcentral is "lncRNA (ENSTGUG00000026728.1)". The record is from RNAcentral. Lineage: Eukaryota; Metazoa; Chordata; Aves; Passeriformes; Estrildidae.
GGGAUCUGUACCUACAAAUGGGUGACAGUGGGGGCCAAUGGUCUGAAAGGUGCUGGGUAGAUACCAGCACCUGAUACCUGAGCCAGUUUAGGAUGGCUCAGGUCUCCUUCACAGAGAUCCUGAGAACUUGCUAUUUCAGUGCUCAAGCAAAGAUGUCCAAAGCUGAAUGCCUCAAGAUGAAAAGUCAUCAAUAACCAGGUUCCUAGGGUAAUGUUACAUCCUUCACCAGAUGCUGUACUUUGCUGGACCUUUGUUCUGCCAAGCCUACACUUCAUGAACCUCUUCUUGACCUUCCGUUGAGGACAAUUAUGGCCCUCCUCAAUGAGCUGCAAAGAUUUUUGCAUAUCUGACUGAACCUGUGCAUGUCAUCUGUGUGAAGAAGUCACAUAUGCCACAGAGUCUGCUGCUCUUCAAGGCACAGAAGGGUGGGGCACGCCUGGUGGGACUUGUUCUGCAUGCAAAACUUCCUGCCUGAAGGAGCAUCCACAGGAAUCCCACCAAGGUCAAGCCCAAUGAUCUUGGCUUGUGUCAGGAUUGACAAAACUCCGCAGUGCUAACGGCAGUGGGAAUGGUUCUUCCAAACUUCCUCAUAUUGGGAAAAGCACUGUUGUGGAAAAGGUCACAUCUAAUCACUCCAAAGUACAGCAGGGACAGAAUCAUUUAACUGGAAAAGCUGGGAACAAUAGGAACAAGUCAUUUUCCAGUCUGUCCUGGGUAAAGCAGCACAAUUAACUGCUUUACUUAACAUGCAAGUUUAUAAGUGAUCUCCAUGACACCCCUGACACGAAGAAAAUAAUGGGGUUAAACUGGCUCUCAUUACAAGCUGAUCUUUGUGCAGACUUUGGUUGGUAGAACUGGCAGAAGACGUGUAUUGCAGAAUUAAAAUUAAAAGUUAUGAGAACCAUCGCUACAUAAUGGUGAGAUCAGACGAGAAUGGGAGAAUCCACACAAGUCUUUAAUCUCCAUCAAGACAAGACAUUGUUUCUGCUUGGUUCUGCAGUUUAAAAUAAAUCCUUAAUGACACUGUCAUCGUCUCGUUUUGUGGUCUUCAUUUCCUCCUGAUUAUAAAUAAGAAUCAGGUUUCCCUUUAGCAGGACUGGGAGGCAGGGGAGUUCAAACUCUUCUGCUCACAGGGAGCAAGAGCUGCUGCUCUCACUGCAGUGUCAGAUCUUUG